GACAGUCAGAGUACAAUAGUCUCGAGCAAGAACUUCAUGUACCAUACAAGGACAAAACACAUCGACGAUAAAUAUCAUUGGAUUCGUGAGGAAGUGGAGAGUGAAUCAUUUCACGUCAAAAAGAUUCACACAAGUGAAAAUCCUGUGGAUAUGCUGACCAAGACGAUAUCGAAAGACAAGUUCGAGUUAUGCAAAGAACUUGUAGGUAUGAGUUCUCUCUAAAGAAGAUGAAGAUACCUCCUUCCAGUGAAUAGGACUGGAGGGGGAGAUUUGUUUAAUCCAUCCCAUUUUUUGAUCAAC
Molecule: unclassified non-coding RNA, 300 nt
Filed under: Hevea brasiliensis (rubber tree)
Lineage: Eukaryota; Viridiplantae; Streptophyta; Magnoliopsida; Malpighiales; Euphorbiaceae
Source: RNAcentral